RNAcentral lists this ribosomal RNA (442 nucleotides) under uncultured bacterium. RNAcentral's name for it is "partial 16S ribosomal RNA". It matches the Rfam family "Bacterial small subunit ribosomal RNA", at positions 338 to 795 of the family's 1533-position model. The record is from RNAcentral.
CCUACGGGUGGCAGCAGUGGGGGAUAUUGCACAAUGGGGGAAACCCUGAUGCAGCGACGCCGCGUGGGCGAAGAAGGAUUUCGGGAUGUAAAGCCCUAUCAGCAGGGAAGAAGAAAUGACGGUACGUGAGUAAGGAGCACGGGCUAAAUACGUGCCAGAAGCCGGGGUAAUACGUAUGGUGCAAGCGUUAUACGGAUUUACUGGGUGUAAAGGGAGGGAAGGGGGCACGGCAAGCCUGAUGUGAAAGCCCGCGCCCCAACAGAGGGACUGCAUGGGGAACUACCGAGCUGGAGUGCCGGAGAGGUAGGCGGAAUGCCUAGUGUAGCGGUGAAAUGCGUAGAUAUUAGGAGGAACACCAGUGGCGAAGGCGGCCUACUGGACCGUGACUGACGCUGAGGCUCGAAAGCGUGGGGAGCAAACAGGAUUAGAUACCCUAGUAGUC